ACACUCAAGAAAGAGGACUUCCAGAACUGCCUCAGAAGGUGCAACGUGUUUCCUAUGGUGAAGGAAAAUUUUUGGACGGGAUUGCUAGCCUUUGCUCAUAAUUUGGAAACUUAAGUACACAUGAAGAAGAUUUGAAGAAUGAAUCUUGAUCUUUACUGUCAAUAGGAUUAAUAAAAUAUGUACAAAACAA
Molecule: long non-coding RNA, 190 nt
Organism: Hipposideros armiger (great roundleaf bat)
Lineage: Eukaryota; Metazoa; Chordata; Mammalia; Chiroptera; Hipposideridae
Exons: 2
Source: RefSeq, a predicted model, not a curated record